AUCCGGGAUACGGACAGUGUCUGGUGGGUAGUUUGACUGGGGCGGUCUCCUCCUAAAGAGUAACGGAGGAGCACGAAGGUUAGCUAAGCAUGGUCGGACAUCAUGCGGUUAGUGCAAAGGCAGAAGCUAGCUUAACUGCGAGACGGACAGGUCGAGCAGAUACGAAAGUAGGUCUUAGUGAUCCGGUGGUUCUGAAUGGAAGGGCCAUCGCUCAACGGAUAAAAGGUACUCCGGGGAUAACAGGCUGAUACCGCCCAAGAGUUCAUAUCGACGGCGGUGUUUGGCACCUCGAUGUCGGCUCAUCACAUCCUGGGGCUGAAGUUGGUCCCAAGGGUAUGGCUGUUCGCCAUUUAAAGUGGUACGCGAGCUGGGUUUAGAACGUCGUGAGACAGUUCGGUCCCUAUCUGUCGUGGGCGUUGGAUGAUUGAGGGGGGCUGCUCCUAGUACGAGAGGACCGGAGUGGACGCAUCUCUGGUGUUCCGGUUGUCACGCCAGUGGCAUUGCCGGGUAGCUAAAUGCGGAAGAGAUAAGCGCUGAAAGCAUCUAAGCGCGAAACUUGCCCCGAGAUGAGUCAUCCCUGAGGCUAUAAGCCUCCUAAAGGGUUGUUGGAGACUACGACGUAGAUAGGCAGGGUGUGUAAGCGUAGCGAUACGUUGAGCUAACCUGUACUAAUUGCCCGUGAGGCUUAACCAU
Molecule: ribosomal RNA, 693 nt
Filed under: Plesiomonas shigelloides
Lineage: Bacteria; Pseudomonadati; Pseudomonadota; Gammaproteobacteria; Enterobacterales; Enterobacteriaceae
Description: partial 23S ribosomal RNA
Rfam family: Bacterial large subunit ribosomal RNA
Source: RNAcentral